UGUCUCAAAGAUUAAGCCAUGCAUGUCUUUUUAUAAGCAACUUUGUACUGUGAAACUGCGAAUGGCUCAUUAAAUCAGUUAUAGUUUAUUUGAUGGUUUUUGCUACAUGGAUAACUGUGGUAAUUCUAGAGCUAAUACAUGCAUUCAAGCCCCGACUUCUGGAAGGGGUGUAUUUAUUAGAUAAAAAUCAACUUUGUUGGUGAAUCAUAAUAACUUCUCGGACCGCAUGGCCUCGUGCUGGCGGUGCUUCAUUCAAAUAUCUGCCCUAUCAACUGUCGAUGGUAGGAUAGAGGCCUACCAUGGUUGCAACGGGUAACGGGGAAUAAGGGUUCGAUUCCGGAGAGGGAGCCUGAGAAACGGCUACCACAUCCAAGGAAGGCAGCGGGCGCGCAAAUUACCCAAUCCCAACACGGGGAGGUAGUGACAAUAUGUAACAAUAUACGGCCUUAUACGUCGUAUAAUUGGAAUGAGUACAAUUUUAAAUCCCUUAACAAGGAACAAUUGGAGGGCAAGUCUGGUGCCAGCAGCCAA
Molecule: ribosomal RNA, 531 nt
Filed under: uncultured Basidiomycota
Lineage: Eukaryota; Fungi; Basidiomycota
Description: SSU rRNA
Rfam family: Eukaryotic small subunit ribosomal RNA
Source: RNAcentral